Molecule: unclassified non-coding RNA, 381 nt
Filed under: uncultured bacterium
Lineage: Bacteria
Description: contains 16S-23S intergenic spacer region
Source: RNAcentral
UCCGGUUUGGCACCGGCAGUCCUCCCAGAGUCCUCGGCAUAACCCGGUAGCAACUAGCCCCGGGGGUUGCGCUCGUUGCGGGACUUAACCCAACACCUCACGGCACGAGCUGACGACAGCCAUGCAGCACCUGUGUUCCCGUUCCCUUUCGGGCACAGCCCCGUUUCCGGAGCCUCCAGGACAUGUCAAGGGUAGGUAAGGUUUUUCGCGUUGCAUCGAAUUAAUCCACAUAAUCCACCGCUUGUGCGGGUCCCCGUCAAUUCCUUUGAGUUUUAACCUUGCGGCCGUACUCCCCAGGCGGGGCACUUAAUGCGUUAGCUUCGGCACAGGAGGAGUCGACACCUCCCACACCUAGUGCCCAUCGUUUACGGCGUGGACUAC